RNAcentral lists this small nucleolar RNA (69 nucleotides) under Glareola pratincola. Its description in RNAcentral is "Small nucleolar RNA SNORD123". It matches the Rfam family "Small nucleolar RNA SNORD123". The record is from Rfam by way of RNAcentral. Lineage: Eukaryota; Metazoa; Chordata; Aves; Charadriiformes; Glareolidae. RNAcentral also lists the same sequence under 5 other names.
GGUGAAAAUGAUGAAUUCUGGGGUACUGAUUCAUAUGAUCUGAAAAAGCCAUCCAUUUCCUGAUUCACC